UGGAGAGUUUGAUCCUGGCUCAGGACGAACGCUGGCGGCGUGCUUAACACAUGCAAGUCGAACGGAAAGGCCCUUCGGGGUGCUCGAGUGGCGAACGGGUGAGUAACACGUGGGUGAUCUGCCCUGCACUUUGGGAUAAGCCUGGGAAACUGGGUCUAAUACCGAAUAGGACCGCGCUCUUCAUGGGGUGUGGUGGAAAGCUUUUGCGGUGUGGGAUGGGCCCGCGGCCUAUCAGCUUGUUGGUGGGGUAAUGGCCUACCAAGGCGACGACGGGUAGCCGGCCUGAGAGGGUGACCGGCCACACUGGGACUGAGAUACGGCCCAGACUCCUACGGGAGGCAGCAGUGGGGAAUAUUGCACAAUGGGCGCAAGCCUGAUGCAGCGACGCCGCGUGAGGGAUGACGGCCUUCGGGUUGUAAACCUCUUUCAGUACCGACGAAGCGCAAGUGACGGUAGGUACAGAAGAAGGACCGGCCAACUACGUGCCAGCAGCCGCGGUA
This 500-nucleotide ribosomal RNA is filed under the name Mycobacterium sp. N110. Its description in RNAcentral is "bacterial SSU rRNA". It matches the Rfam family "Bacterial small subunit ribosomal RNA", at positions 1 to 522 of the family's 1533-position model. The record is from RNAcentral. Lineage: Bacteria; Bacillati; Actinomycetota; Actinomycetes; Mycobacteriales; Mycobacteriaceae.